Long non-coding RNA from Suricata suricatta (meerkat), 696 nucleotides. RefSeq lists it as uncharacterized. The transcript has 2 exons. The record is from RefSeq and is a predicted model, not a curated record. Lineage: Eukaryota; Metazoa; Chordata; Mammalia; Carnivora; Herpestidae.
GGAGCCAGCGCUGAGGCUGGAUCCUGAAGGCUGGGAGGCACGGCUGGGCUGGCGAAGGACGAGCACAGCUCCCUCGGGCAGGGGCAGAGGAAGCACAGGUUGGGGCCCCCAGCGCCUCAGAUCUCCACCUGCUGUCCCUGCCAGUUACCGCUGGGAGAAGAGACCCUCAAGAUCUUGAGCACAGAGGAGAGUUUCCAACUUCCCACCCAUGUUACAGAGGGGAAAACUGAGACCCCGAGAAGAGGCAGCACCUGCCCAAGAAAGCACAACUCUUUCAGGAAGCCAUGCCAAAACGCAUCCCCAGGGCAACCUGACUUGCCUUAUCUGACAUGUACUUCAACACAAUUGACUUGUCCCCGUGUAGCCCUGAGAAGAGCUGGGAGAGAGAAAGCGUGAUUUGCAGAGCUCAGAGAUGGGGGCCGGCUCUGCUCCUGUGUCACUCCUGUCACCCGAACGUGGCCCCAGCUCUGGCCACCAUCAUCCCGACCCAGACUCGAGUCCCACCUUGGGGCCUUUGCACAAGCUCUUCUCCCCCACCCUCCGCCCCCCAUGCCUCCCUCCGGCAAUUGCUUUGUGAAGCCACACCCCCUCCUCCCGGAUGCAGCCCCUCCCCACCUUCCUGAUGCAUCAGUUCUUGGCCCUAAAGAUACCAGCCCAUCGCCCUGAGUAUUCAAACAAAUUAAAGGUUUGAUCUGC